CAGGUCCUCAAAAUACAACUAUUCAAAAUAAAGUGGAGUGGAAAGAUAUUUCCACUCAUUUACCAGCCAAAAGACUCCAAAUGCACAACAUUUACAAAAAUACAGCGAACCCGUGAUAUGGAUAUAUUUUUUGACAAGAGAUGUAUGAACUAUAUAAACUAACAAAACAAGUCAUACAACUAACGAUAAUGUGUGGCUCAACUUGCCAGAUCAACAAGCUCCAUUGUUGCUAAACUCAGUUACUAUCUGAUAAGAAAAA
RNAcentral lists this long non-coding RNA (259 nucleotides) under Olea europaea subsp. europaea. The record is from RNAcentral. Lineage: Eukaryota; Viridiplantae; Streptophyta; Magnoliopsida; Lamiales; Oleaceae.